Phascolarctos cinereus (koala) is the source of this 371-nucleotide non-coding RNA. The record is from RefSeq and is a predicted model, not a curated record. NCBI's taxonomy places the organism in Eukaryota, Metazoa, Chordata, Mammalia, Diprotodontia, Phascolarctidae.
GGAUAGAGACCACGCAGGGAGCUGGACGCAGGAGGUUGGGAGCUGGACUCAGCGGGCUGCAGCAGCACCGGGGCGCUGCCCAGAUGGUGCCCCUUGAAAGGAGGCUUAGCCUAGCAAUUGCAAACUGGCACCACUCUUCUAAACAUGUAACCCACAGAAGUUGAUUGACAGGCAUAAUCAAAUAGCAAGUUAAUAAUGAGUUGAAAAGAAGUGCAUUUGAAGAAAGAAUGGCUGAAGAAAUUAUUAUUUAAGGAUUAGAAGGCUUCUUAAGGGAUAUAUGGCAAUGUAUUGGAAAGAGCGCUGGAGAGAAUGUCCCUAAAGAUGGCUGAUUAAGAAUGUUGUGUAAGCCCAGGUCCUUCUCAUCACCUGGA